This 577-nucleotide ribosomal RNA is filed under the name uncultured bacterium. Its description in RNAcentral is "bacterial SSU rRNA". It matches the Rfam family "Bacterial small subunit ribosomal RNA", at positions 338 to 916 of the family's 1533-position model. The record is from RNAcentral.
CCUACGGGAGGCAGCAGUAGGGAAUAUUGGGCAAUGGACGCAAGUCUGACCCAGCCAUGCCGCGUGCAGGAAGAAGGCGUUAUGCGUUGUAAACUGCUUUUAUACAGGAAGAAACGACUCUUGCGAGAGGCAUUGACGGUACUGUAUGAAUAAGCACCGGCUAACUCCGUGCCAGCAGCCGCGGUAAUACGGAGGGUGCAAGCGUUGUCCGGAUUUAUUGGGUUUAAAGGGUGCGCAGGUGGUUUAUUAAGUCAGUGGUGAAAGACGGUCGCUCAACGAUUGCAGUGCCAUUGAAACCGGUAGACUUGAGUAAAGUAGAGGUGGGCGGAAUUGAUAGUGUAGCGGUGAAAUGCAUAGAUAUUAUCAAGAACUCCAAUUGCGAAGGCAGCUCACUUGGCUUUUACUGACACUCAUGCACGAAAGUGUGGGUAUCAAACAGGAUUAGAUACCCUGGUAGUCCACACUGUAAACGAUGAUAACUAGGUGUCGGCCGAAUCUGGUCGGUGCCACAGCGAAAGCGUUAAGUUAUCCACCUGGGGAGUACGCCGGCAACGGUGAACUCGAAAGGAAUUGACGG